This 378-nucleotide RNase P RNA is filed under the name Sphingobacterium psychroaquaticum. Its description in RNAcentral is "Bacterial RNase P class A". It matches the Rfam family "Bacterial RNase P class A". From Rfam's summary of the family: Ribonuclease P (RNase P) is a ubiquitous endoribonuclease, found in archaea, bacteria and eukarya as well as chloroplasts and mitochondria. Its best characterised activity is the generation of mature 5'-ends of tRNAs by cleaving the 5'-leader elements of precursor-tRNAs. The record is from RNAcentral. Lineage: Bacteria; Pseudomonadati; Bacteroidota; Sphingobacteriia; Sphingobacteriales; Sphingobacteriaceae.
GAAGCAAACUGGUUCUAUCGCUGCUCUUUGAGAGGAGAGGAAAGUCCGGGCAACAUAGAGCGACACGCUUCCUAACGGGAAGGCACUUGCCUGGUGCAAGUGACAGAAAGUGCCACAGAGAAUAUACCGCCAUAGCAAUAUGGUAAGGGUGAAAACGUGAGGUAAGAGCUCACGGUCUUGUAUGGUAACAUGCAUUACGGUAAACCUCGUGUGUUGAAAGACCAAAUAGGUUGUAUAAUUCGAAGGCUGCUCGUCUUCUGUUGCGUGCAACAUAUACAAUGGGUAGGUUGAUGGAGCUUGUGUGUGAAUGCAAGCCUAGAUAAAUGAUAGAAAUCCUGCAAAGGAUACAGAACCCGGCUUACAAGGUUUGCUUCUUUU